RNAcentral lists this ribosomal RNA (468 nucleotides) under uncultured bacterium. RNAcentral describes it as "partial 16S ribosomal RNA". It matches the Rfam family "Bacterial small subunit ribosomal RNA", at positions 28 to 507 of the family's 1533-position model. The record is from RNAcentral.
GACGAACGCUGGCGGCGUGCUUAACACAUGCAAGUCGAACGGAAAGGCCCUGCUUUUGUGGGGUGCUCGAGUGGCGAACGGGUGAGUAACACGUGAGUAACCUGCCCUUGACUUUGGGAUAACUUCAGGAAACUGGGGCUAAUACCGGAUAGGAGCUCCUGCUGCAUGGUGGGGGUUGGAAAGUUUCGGCGGUUGGGGAUGGACUCGCGGCUUAUCAGCUUGUUGGUGGGGUAGUGGCUUACCAAGGCUUUGACGGGUAGCCGGCCUGAGAGGGUGACCGGCAACAUUGGGACUGAGAUACGGCCCAGACUCCUACGGGAGGCAGCAGUGGGGAAUAUUGCACAAUGGGCGGAAGCCUGAUGCAGCAACGCCGCGUGCGGGAUGACGGCCUUCGGGUUGUAAACCGCUUUCGCCUGUGACGAAGAGUGAGUGACGGUAAUGGGUAAAGAAGCACCGGCUAACUACGUG